AUUGAACGCUGGCGGCAGGCCUAACACAUGCAAGUCGAGCGGAUGAAGGGAGCUUGCUCCUGGAUUCAGCGGCGGACGGGUGAGUAAUGCCUAGGAAUCUGCCUGGUAGUGGGGGAUAACGUCCGGAAACGGGCGCUAAUACCGCAUACGUCCUGAGGGAGAAAGUGGGGGAUCUUCGGACCUCACGCUACCAGAUGAGCCUAGGUCGGAUUAGCGAGUUGGUGGGGUAAAGGCCUACCAAGGCGACGAUCCGUAACUGGUCUGAGAGGAUGAUCAGUCACACUGGAACUGAGACACGGUCCAGACUCCUACGGGAGGCAGCAGUGGGGAAUAUUGGACAAUGGGCGAAAGCCUGAUCCAGCCAUGCCGCGUGUGUGAAGAAGGUCUUCGGAUUGUAAAGCACUUUAAGUUGGGAGGAAGGGCAGUAAGUUAAUACCUUGCUGUUUUGACGUUACCAACAGAAUAAGCACCGGCUAACUUCGUG
Molecule: ribosomal RNA, 484 nt
Filed under: uncultured bacterium
Lineage: Bacteria
Description: partial 16S ribosomal RNA
Rfam family: Bacterial small subunit ribosomal RNA
Source: RNAcentral